This 119-nucleotide ribosomal RNA is filed under the name Pteropus alecto (black flying fox). Lineage: Eukaryota; Metazoa; Chordata; Mammalia; Chiroptera; Pteropodidae. The record is from RNAcentral.
GUCUUUGCCCACGCCGCCCUGAACGUGCCUGAUCUCUUCUUAUCUCGUGAAGCUAAGCCGGGUCAGGCCUGGUUAGUACUUGAUGGGAGACCACCUAGGAAUACCAGGUGUUGUAGGUG